RNAcentral lists this ribosomal RNA (469 nucleotides) under Dinophasma kinabaluense. Its description in RNAcentral is "partial 16S ribosomal RNA". The stretch from base 342 to 469 matches the Rfam family "Bacterial large subunit ribosomal RNA", at positions 2473 to 2600 of the family's 2925-position model. Lineage: Eukaryota; Metazoa; Arthropoda; Insecta; Phasmatodea; Aschiphasmatidae. The record is from RNAcentral.
AUUCUAUUUUAAAUGGCCGCGGUAUUUUGACCGUGCAAAGGUAGCAUAAUCAUUAGUUCAUUAAUUGUGUACUUGUAUGAAUGGUUGUAUGAAAUAUUAACUGUCUCUAUAAUAUUAAUAUAAUUUAACUUUUUAGUUAAAAGGCUUAAAUUUAUUUAUGGGACGAGAAGACCCUAUAGAUCUUUAUUUAUUAUAUUAUUUAUUUAUUUGGAUUAAUUUUAUUUGAAUUAUUUAUUUAAUUGUUGGGGUGACAUUGGGAUAUAAAAAACUCUUUAUUUUUUUUACAUUAAUUUAUGUUUUAUUAAUUUUUUAUUAUUUUAUUUAGAAUUAGAUACCUUAGGGAUAACAGCGUAAUUUAAUUUGAGAGUUCUUAUUGACAAUUAAGAUUGCGACCUCGAUGUUGGAUUAAGAAAUAUUUUUGGUGUAGAAGUUUUAAUAAUUGGGUCUGUUCGACCUUUAAUUUCUUACA